UACGUAGGUGGCAAGCGUUGUCCGGAUUUAUUGGGUUUAAAGGGCGCGUAGGCGGCCCUGUAAGUCAGUGGUGAAAUCCUCCAGCUUAACUGGAGGGGUGCCAUUGAUACUGCAGGGCUUGAGUGGAGUCGAAGUAGGCGGAAUUGACGGUGUAGCGGUGAAAUGCUUAGAUAUCGUCAAGAACACCGAUAGUGAAGACAGCUUACUAGGCUUCUACUGACGCUGAGGCACGAAAGUGUGGGGAUCAAACAGG
Molecule: ribosomal RNA, 253 nt
Filed under: uncultured bacterium
Lineage: Bacteria
Description: partial 16S ribosomal RNA
Rfam family: Bacterial small subunit ribosomal RNA
Source: RNAcentral